This 4141-nucleotide unclassified non-coding RNA is filed under the name Hevea brasiliensis (rubber tree). Lineage: Eukaryota; Viridiplantae; Streptophyta; Magnoliopsida; Malpighiales; Euphorbiaceae. The record is from RNAcentral.
CCAAAAUUGAUCGCUGAAUUUUUCUGUCGGGUGAGGAGCGCUGUCCUACUUUCUCAAGAGCUAAAACCUCACCUAUACCCCUCUCUCUAGAUUUUACUUUUUUCUGAUACAGCUUGCUCUUUUCUUAGAAGAAGCUGAUUUUUGUUCCUUCUUUGUUCAGAUUUGUCACAACAUGGAUGAUAAUCUUUAUGAUGAGUUUGGAAACUACAUUGGUCCUGAAAUUGAGUCAGACCAAGAUAGUGUUGGAGAGGAAGAAGAUGAAGAACUUCCAGACAAACCCCAAGAAGAUGAGGCAGCAUCUGAUGAUGAGGAGGCAAUUGAUGCUUCCAAUGGAUGGCUCACUACCAGUAAUGAUGUUGAUAUGGAUAAUCAGGUUGUCCUUGCUGAGGACAAGAAGUAUUACCCAACUGCAGAAGAGGUUUAUGGUGAGGAUGUUGAAACAUUGGUUAUGGAUGAAGAUGAGCAGCCCCUUGAACAACCUAUAAUUAAACCGGUUAAGAACAUCAAGUUUGAGGUUGGGGUUAAGGACUCCUCAACCUAUGUAUCCAGCCAGUUUCUUGUUGGUCUGAUGUCAAACCCCUCUUUGGUUCGUAAUGUUGCCCUUGUGGGCCACCUACAACAUGGGAAGACAUUGUUCAUGGAUAUGUUGGUUGAGCAAACACAUCAUAUGCCUACUUUCGAUACAAAUAGUGAGAAGCAUAUGAGGUACACAGAUACAAGAAUUGAUGAGCAAGAAAGAAGGAUAUCCAUUAAGGCAGUUCCGAUGUCACUUGUUCUUGAAGAUAGCAAUUCUAAAUCAUACCUAUGUAACAUCAUGGACACCCCUGGUCAUGUCAACUUCUCUGAUGAAAUGACUGCUGCUCUAAGGCUUGCUGAUGGUGCUGUGUUAAUUGUGGAUGCAGCUGAAGGAGUGAUGGUAAGUAACUUUUUUGAGUAAAAAAUUUGAUAAAUUUACGCCACAGAUAACCUAACCUGAUUGUGCUUCAGUUUUGCCUAUACUUCUGCAGAUAAAUGAACUCAUUAUGCUUAUAUAUGAAUUUCCAUGAGGUAAGGGUACUUGUGUGGAGAUGAACUUUGAGAUGUUUUAGUUUAUGAUCAGGUUGAUUACAGUGUCAAGGCAAUAAAUUAGUUUGUUUAAUUCUUGAUAUGUUAUUUCAAUGAUAUUGUUGUGGUUUUAUGAAAUGUUUUCUUAGUAUGGUAAUUCUGGUAUUCUGAUUUCUGAAUGUGCAUGUAAAUACAGAGAUGGCCAUAUGUCAUGCAAUCCAGGAGCACCUGCCUAUUGUAGUUGUGAUCAAUAAGGUUGAUAGGCUGAUAGCAUAACUUAAGUUGCUUCCAAAGGAUGCUUACCAUAAGCUUGGGCAUACUAUAGAAGUCAUCAAUAACCAUAUAAAAGCCGUCUCUUCAACUGCUGGAAAUGUCCAAGUUCUAAAUCCUGGAAAUGUUUGUUUGCAAGUGCUACGGGAGGAUGGUCCUUUACUUUGCAAUCAUUUGCUAAACUGUAUCUCAAACUCCAUGGCAUCUGAUUUGAUGCUGACAAAUUUGCAACUCGUCUUGGGGAGAUGUUUAUUAUCAUCCAGAUAUGAUGGCUUUUAAGAAGAAACCCUCUGCAAGUGGAGGGGAAAUAUCAAUUGUCCAAUUUGUGUUGGAGCCCCCCUACAGUGAUUGGAGAACAUAAGAAGAGUAUUGGGGCUACUCUAGCCAAGCUUGGUGUCAUACUUCCCAAAGCAGCUUAUAAAUUAAAUUUUCAGUCUUUGCUAAGGCUGGGGUGUAGCAGUGUUUUUGGUUCAGCUUCAGGCUUCACUGAUAUGCUGGUUCAGCAUAUACCUUCUGCUAAGAAUGCUGCAGCUAAAAAGGUGGAUCAUAUAUAUCUAGGGCCCAAUGAUUCUAUGGCCCAAUGAUUCUAUGAUUUACAAGGCCAUGGUAAAUUGUAAUACUUCUGGCCCCUUAAUUGCUAACGUGACCAAACUAUAUCCCAAGUCUGAUAGCAGUUCCUUAUAGUGGUAAAAUUAUGACAGGGCAGUCUGUAAAAGUAUUGGGAGAGGGCUACUCACCUGAUGACAAGGAGGACGACUGAAAGAAGUGACCAAACUAUGGGUUUAUCAAGCUAGGUAUAGAUUACACAUAAGCAUGGCACCUCCUGGCUCAUGGGUUCUCAUCAAAGGCAUGGAUGCUUCAAUAAAGAAAACUGCAACUCUUUGUAAUGUGAUAAUUACAAAGAUGUUUACAUAUUCCAGCCUCUGCAGUUUAACACUCUUCCAGUGGUGAAAACAGCUACUGAGCCUCUAACUCCAAGUUAGUAGCCAAAAAUGAUGGAGGGCCUAUGGAAGAUCAGUAAAAGUUACCCUCUAGCUAUUACUAAAGUUGAAUAGUUUGGAAAGCACAAAAUUCUUGGUACUGGAGGGAUAUAUUUGGAUUCUGUGAUGAAGGACCUUAGGGAACUUUACUCUGAAGUAGAAGUCAAGGUAUGGAUUACUCAUAUCUCAUUGUUUUAUGUAUUUUUAGUUUAUUUCUUUCCUGCGUUUUUCCCCUCAUUCUCUCUGCCUAUGAUAUUCUAUUUUUUGGCUGUUUUUGCAUUGAUGGGUAUGAAUCCAUUUGUUCUAAUGCUUCAUUCAAAUUUAGGUAGCAGAUCCUGUUGUCUCAUUUUCUGAAAUUGUUGUAGAGUCCUCAUCAAUGAAAUGUUUCGAUGGAACACCCAACAAGAAGAAUAAAGUAACCAUGAUACAAACCCCAAUUGACUGUCUCUCUGCAAUAUAUAUAGUGUUAUCUCCCAGAUGUGGACAUGUUACAGCAGACAUUCCUCGGGCUGGUACUCCCGCUUAUAUUGUGAAGGUUUGAUGGCUCAGCUUUGCAUACAUCUACAGAUGAUCAUCAUAGAAAAUAUUUCCAUUAGUCAUUGCUUUAUGGACUACUGGGAGAAAAAUUGCUGAGGACUGUAUGCUAAAACACUUUAGAAGCAUAAGAGGGUGUUUGAGAAAUCACAAAGCUGGGCUAGCUGUGAAUAGUGAGCAGAUUUUUAAAACUUUUUGCUCUCGUUUGAUAAUUAUUUACAUGGUUCAAAAUAGUAGUUGUUUGCCCUGGAGUUGGGAUGGGAAAGUUGCACUUUUGGUUUGAGGAUUAAUCAGAACCAGACUGAAUUAGUUCUUUGCGUUUGUAAAAACUCUCAUGUAAAUAUUCUUUUCAAUGGGGAGUUGAUUUAAAUAUCCUGUAGCUCUUCUCUUGCUAUCAUUAAUUUUUCCCUCUUGUUGGUGCAAAUUCUUUGUGAUCAUUGGGUUAUUUUCUACCUUUUUUCCUAUUGCAUUUCAGGCAUUUUUACCUGUAAUAGUGUCAUUUUGAGAUGGACCUGAGAUAGCAUACCCAAAGGUAAGCAUUUUGCCUCUCAGUGUUGGAUCAUUGGGCUGUAGUCCGUGGAGACAAGAUCAUAGUUCUGCAACCACUUGAGCCAUCUGGCUCCAUGCUCGUGAACAUCCUCUCUCUUACUCUCUAUUGCUUUCUCCUUAUGUCUCUUUCUAUCAAUUAUAUAGUGAUAACAAAUAAGUAUUCAUUCUCUUAAAAAAUUUAGCAUGGAUGAUGCCUUACUAUUUUUCCUUGAGCUUCAUGUUAACAGCACUGAAAGAUUGAUGAAAAUCCACAGUUGGUAAUAUUUUUUAUUGGAAUUCUAUAUCCCAGGAAAUGAGUGAAGAUAUGAGUGCAAACAAGUUCUUUGAUGAGGCCAUGGUGGUGGAGCUGGCUCAGCAAGCAGCUGAUAUUCAUCAACAAAUGAUAUUAGGUUCCUAUAUGGUUGCUAAGGCCAUGGAAUGCAGCUUGCUUAAGGGUGUUGCAGGCAGUUUUAUCCUGAUUUCAUUCUAUCCAACCUAGAUGCGAAAUGGCCAGUGUAAAGAUGCCCAAUCUUGAGCUGCUAACAUAGAACACGGCUAACCUUAAAGAAGGAUGUGAAAGGACAAAAAUUUUGAAUUUUAUGUAGUUGUUUAUCAUCUGUUGUCUAAAUAUAUGCAUAUUACAGCAAAAUUUACAUGUGUUUUCAGUGGUAUUGACUCCCUGUAUGCAUAUAAGAGCCACUUUAACUCAAAAGGUGAAACCGUGUCUUUUUUUAUGCUUAUAGUUUCUAUUUUCUUUGCGAGUUUGUUCUUGAUUCAUGUUGUGG